GAUGAACGCUGGCGGCGUGCCUAACACAUUCAAGUCGAACGGUGACGAGUCCUUCGGGACUCUGAUCAGUGGCGGACGGGUGAGUAACGCGUGAGCAACCUGCCUAUCAAAGAGGGAUAACACAUGGAAACGUGUGCUAAUACCGCAUGAAGCAACGAGGCCGCAUGGUUUUGUUGUUAAAGGGCAACCGAUGAUAGAUGGGCUCGCGUUGGAUUAGAUAGUUGGUGGGGUAACGGCCUACCAAGUCGACGAUCAGUAGCCGGACUGAGAGGUUCAACGGCCACAUUGGGACUGAGAUACGGCCCAGACUCCUACGGGAGGCAGCAGUCGGGAAUAUUGCGCAAUGGAGGGAACUCUGACGCAGUGACGCCGCGUAUAGGAAGAAGGUUUUCGGAUUGUAAACUAUUGUCGAUAGGGAAGAUAAAAGACUGUACCUAUCAAGAAAGCUCCGGCUAACUACGUG
RNAcentral lists this ribosomal RNA (463 nucleotides) under uncultured bacterium. RNAcentral describes it as "bacterial SSU rRNA". It matches the Rfam family "Bacterial small subunit ribosomal RNA", at positions 28 to 507 of the family's 1533-position model. The record is from RNAcentral.